RNAcentral lists this ribosomal RNA (512 nucleotides) under Alphaproteobacteria bacterium. RNAcentral's name for it is "bacterial SSU rRNA". It matches the Rfam family "Bacterial small subunit ribosomal RNA", at positions 1026 to 1533 of the family's 1533-position model. The record is from RNAcentral. Lineage: Bacteria; Pseudomonadati; Pseudomonadota; Alphaproteobacteria.
GAUGAGUGACAGGUGCUGCAUGGCUGUCGUCAGCUCGUGUCGUGAGAUGUUGGGUUAAGUCCCGCAACGAGCGCAACCCUCGUCUUUAGUUGCCAUCAUUUAGUUGGGCACUCUAAAGAAACCGCCGGUGAUAAGCCGGAGGAAGGUGGGGAUGACGUCAAGUCCUCAUGGCCCUUACACGCUGGGCUACACACGUGCUACAAUGGCAACUACAGUGGGCAGCAAUCCCGCGAGGGUGAGCUAAUCUCCAAAAGUUGUCUCAGUUCGGAUUGUUCUCUGCAACUCGAGAGCAUGAAGGCGGAAUCGCUAGUAAUCGCGGAUCAGCAUGCCGCGGUGAAUACGUUCCCAGGCCUUGUACACACCGCCCGUCACACCAUGGGAGUUGGAUUCACCCGAAGGCGUUGCGCUAACUCGCAAGAGAGGCAGGCGACCACGGUGGGUUUAGCGACUGGGGUGAAGUCGUAACAAGGUAGCCGUAGGGGAACCUGCGGCUGGAUCACCUCCUUUCUAAG